This 18-nucleotide microRNA is filed under the name Pongo pygmaeus (Bornean orangutan). RNAcentral's name for it is "ppy-miR-1322". The record is from miRBase by way of RNAcentral. Lineage: Eukaryota; Metazoa; Chordata; Mammalia; Primates; Hominidae.
GAUGCUGCUGCUGAUGCU